RNAcentral lists this unclassified non-coding RNA (380 nucleotides) under uncultured bacterium. RNAcentral's name for it is "contains 16S-23S intergenic spacer region". The record is from RNAcentral.
UCCGGUUUAUCACCGGCAGUCUCCAUAGAGUUCUCGGCUUUACCCGUUAGUAACUAUGAAUAAGGGUUGCGCUCGUUGCGGGACUUAACCCAACAUCUCACGACACGAGCUGACGACAGCCAUGCAGCACCUCUACAGCGGCCUCCGAAGAGGGCGACUCAUCUCUGAGCCUUUCCACUGCAGUUCAAACCCAGGUAAGGUUCUGCGCGUCGCGUCGAAUUAAGCCACAUGCUCCGCCGCUUGUGCGGGCCCCCGUCAAUUCCUUUGAGUUUCAGCCUUGCGGCCGUACUCCCCAGGCGGGGCACUUAAUGCGUUAGCGCCGGCACUCGGAGGGUCGCUCCCCCAAGCACCUAGUGCCCAUCGUUUACGGCGUGGACUAC